Dioscorea cayenensis subsp. rotundata (Guinea yam) is the source of this 702-nucleotide long non-coding RNA. RefSeq lists it as uncharacterized. NCBI's taxonomy places the organism in Eukaryota, Viridiplantae, Streptophyta, Magnoliopsida, Dioscoreales, Dioscoreaceae. The record is from RefSeq and is a predicted model, not a curated record. The transcript has 5 exons.
CUUUUUAAUAGCUAGAACUGGAAAUAGUUGAGCUUCCCUUCUCCGUGCUCUUCUCUUCUCUUCUCUUCUCGUCCGCUUCGGUGUGAGAUCCACGAGCUUCCCUUCUCAGUCUCUCAGCUUCUCGUCCGCUACGGAUUCACGAGAUCCAUUGUUGAUGUUGUUGGUCAUCGAUCUCAUGGCCCUGUUCCUGAACCUGGAUCAAUCGUCGUUGUUCGGGUUACAAAAGUUAUGGCUAGAAUGGCUUCAGCUGAUAUAAUGUGUGUGGAAUCAAAGGCUGUGAAGGAAAAGUUUACUGGUAUUAUUAGUUUACUGAAAACUUAUAUGAAGUAACACAAAAGGUAAAAAGGUGAAAGGGAACAUACCUGGCUGACAUUACUAUCAAAAUGGAUGGGCCACUUUUCUGCUACAAAAUUCCUGCAGAAAAGACUUUGCAUGACGGAAAUCAUACCGGAAACUUUGCUUCGAGUUUACACUACAUUAUGGGUGAUGAAAGCUACAUAUGGAGAAGGGUUCACUGAAGACAUCUUCUAUUUUCUCAUCUAUAGGAGAAGGGUUCACUGAAGACAUCUUCUAUUUUCCAUUUGCAUAUGUUAAUUUGUAUUUUUGGUAUGAAUUGAAUGUUGGAUCAUUUGUAUGGAUUAAUUGUAUUUUCGGUAUGAUUCAAAUGAUGGAUUGUGGAUGCUUGAUGAGAUAAUUUUUUUA